RNAcentral lists this ribosomal RNA (253 nucleotides) under uncultured bacterium. RNAcentral's name for it is "partial 16S ribosomal RNA". It matches the Rfam family "Bacterial small subunit ribosomal RNA", at positions 524 to 776 of the family's 1533-position model. The record is from RNAcentral.
UACAUAUGGGGCAAGCGUUGUUCGGAAUUACUGGGCAUAAAGGGUGCGUAGGUGGUCUGCUAAGUCAGGGGUGAAAUCCGGUGGCCCAACCAUCGAACUGCCUUUGAUACUGGUGGACUUGAGUGCGUGAGGGGUAACCGGAACGAGCAGUGUAGCGGUGAAAUGCGUAGAUAUUGCUCGGAAGGCCAACGGCGAAGGCAGGUUACUGGUGCGCAACUGACACUGAGGCACGAAAGCGUGGGGAGCAAACAGG